CACUUCGAAUAAGGUGGAGCCUUACCAAUCCUUCGCUGAAAGCUGACCUCGUAUACUAUGAGGGCUUGUCAAACUGAUUGUCUAUACCUGCAGGCAUGAAUGUAGCGUUCCCAACAAAAUAACGUCAGUACGAAUAAUGUACCGAGUAUGUAAGGUGCACAAAUAAGUAUAUAAAAGACAUAGGAGAAACAUGCGAUAAAUGACACAAACCGUAAGUCUGGAUAACUUUGUAAAUUAUGAAAUACUUAUAGUAUCAUGCAUAUGCGUAUGUAUAUCAUGUUGUGCAUAGCAUGUGUUCAUGAUAUUGCAGCCUCUGAGGGCAUUCCGUCAUAUCAUCUGGGCCACUGUGGGAAAAAUCAUCAAUGUAUACCAGCUAAUUUAGUGUUGGUGCGUAUAUAAGGAAGUAACCUUUCCCAUAUAUCAUAUGCAUAUAAUAUACAUAUAUAUGCAUAUAUAAUGCCAUCUGUUCAUGGGUCAAUAUAAAUGAAUGCAAUGCAUGAGAAGUACGUCAAUAAAAACUUUCAGAGUAUCAUAAGACUAUUAUGUCUUUGAUUAAUAUCAUAAAAUAAACUUUAUCAACUUGCGUAUUUUCUGAGACCUAUGAAUAGACGAUAGAAUAAUAAGAUACGUGUGAAUUCAAGAACAUAAGCACAUCUAAUAUUUCUAUGAAUCGAGUCAUUUAUGGAAUUUGUGCAUUUGCUCAUUAUAUUGGUGUCGUAUAGAUCAUGCCAAAACUAGGGUGUUCAUAAAAAUCCGAAAAUCCAAAUCAAACCAAACCGAUCAAAAAACCCGAUAUUUUUUGGUUUGGUUUGGUUUGAUUUUAGUUUUGAAAUUUAAAAACCGAUCAAAUUUGGUUUGGUUUUGGUUUUAAUUAAAAAUAACCGAACCAAAGGAAAGAAGGGAUAUUCUUAACAUACCUGGAUCGAUUCUCUUGACAAUUCCUCUAACACACAUAUUUUCUGACAAAACAUAUAACGGUAAAUCGAAAUAUGGGAUCCGUGUGAUAUUGUUGAAAAGGAAUGCAUCGUAUUCCCUUAAAAUUGCAAAAUUUCACGUUGCUAAAAUACUAAGAAUUCUUGUUUGAAUUCUUAAAGUCACUUAUGAGAUCUUGUUGAAUUAUGAAAAUAAAAAAAUCUUUACACCACUCGUGAAUAUCCAUCUCUCUUUCAAGGUAGAGAGGUCUUAUACCUUAGUGGGUGUGGGACACACUAAGGUGAUGACUAAUCCAUUAAAAUGACACCUUAUCAUGACUUGAAGAGUCAUCCCAUUGGCAAAGUUUGCUGCCACGUUUGGAGCGAAUUAGGCUAAUAAAUAUGUCCUAAUUAUUUAGCUAAUAUUUCCCUAAGUGUUAUUAAUUAAUCAAUCAAUUCCUUAAUUAACUAGAUAAUUUUCAUUACCCAAUAAUCCACAUAAUAGAAAUUAUAUCAAAUUACUUAAAAUACUAUUCAUUUUUAACACACUUUGUACACCUUACUAUUAUGUUCAUGUAGUACCGUGUAUGAUACUAGUUCAUAAAUAUCAGGUAUUUUAUCUUGGGCCGUAUUUUAUCCCAAAUGACAAACUUCGAUGAAAUUCAUUUUCUUCAAUUUUUUUACCUUCUCACCUUCAUGAAUUUGCUUAUCACUUAAUUGAAAUAACAUAAUGCUUAUAAUCUCCAAAAUAAUCUCAUUCCCAAACUUACAUCGAUUAACUUACGACGAAAUUUGAACAUACAAAAAUGCAGGAUGUAACAUCUCAUUUCCGAGCUUCUAUCAAUUUACUUAUAGCGUGCCUUCACGUACAAAAAUAUGGGGUGCAACACUAAAAAUAGGCUCAUUUAGUGGGAAGUUCUUCAGAUAGUGGCUAAGUGUUUUGUGCUUGUUUAUAGGCUUGGUAUAUGCCAGGCACACCUUGUAACUGCUCAACUUGUAACCUGUCAUUGGCAGCCCUUUAUUUGUUUUGUAUUUUGCUGGCUAAAUCAAGUUAGCAAAUGUGAGCCUUCCAAUUGAGUUCCUUUGUAUAUUAUGCGAGAAUAAUAAACGUUGGGUGUUGAAUUGUACGCGUUGCUUUCACUUUACAAGUCUAAAAAUAUUCUAUGUCCUAAAUUGUGAGGUAAAAAGUAAGGCUGAGUGGCUUGAGUGUCAGGCUACUGUCGUGCAGUGCCGUUUGCAAAAAAUUGGUCCUGUAACAAUUGUUAUCAGAGCUUUACUCGUGAUUCGGGACCAUGGCCAGAGGAAAUUCCACUUCAGACUUAGGUGUUCGUGUGCAGAAGUUGGAGGCACUAAUCAGUGUGACUAACGAUCCUUUGGAUUUGAAAGAUCUAAUUACUAAGAUGUUUCGUUUAAAGGCAUGAUUGAAUUAGUUUCAUGAUACUAUUCAACAAAUGUGUGAGGCUACUAAUGUUCAGGUUGAAGAUCUAAUAAACGAAAAUGAAACUCUUAAUCUGGAAAUUGUUGUUCUGCGAAGGGCUUUGGCUAGUUCUGGCAAGGGCAGUGAAGAACGUUCCACGGUUAAGAUCCUAGAACCGAAGGCGUUUGGUGGAACGUGAAGUGCUUUAUGAGUCUUGACCUCUUUACAAUUAACUUGAGAUAAUAAUUAAUAACUAGUAUUAAUUGCCUUCUAAGAAUACAACAAAGGAAUCAAAGAUAUCAUAAAAGAGAAGUAAUCUUACUACCUUGAAGUAUGAACUAGUAAAGGUUGAAAGAUAAAUCUCAAAGCACAAGUAACAAAUGUUCAAAAGAACUCUCAAAGUAUGAUAUACUUAAUCAAUAAUGUUGUAUCUUAUGAAUGAGAAGAAAAUCUUAUUUAUAGGAGAAAAAACCUUUAAAAUAAUGUGGGGGGGGGGGGGGCUAAAAUAAGAUCCUAGAACCGAAGGCGUUUGGUGGAACGUGAAGUGCUUUAUGAGUCUUGACCUCUUUACAAUUAACUUGAGAUAAUAAUUAAUAACUAGUAUUAAUUGCCUUCUAAGAAUACAACAAAGGAAUCAAAGAUAUCAUAAAAGAGAAGUAAUCUUACUACCUUGAAGUAUGAACUAGUAAAGGUUGAAAGAUAAAUCUCAAAGCACAAGUAACAAAUGUUCAAAAGAACUCUAAAAGUAUGAUAUACUUAAUCAAUAAUGUAGUGCCUUAUGAAUGAGAAAAACUCCCUAUAUAUAGGAGUACUAAGGCAUAAAAAGUCCUUAAAAUUAGGUAGGAUGGUUGUUAUGGCAUACAAAGUCACUACAAUUAGGUAGGAUGGUUGCUAAAGAGUAAGAAAAGUCAUUAAAACUAGGUGGGGGACGGCUAAGACCCGUUGGGGCAUAUUUGGGCCUUGAAACAACUAGUUGGCCCCUCUCUCUUUCUCUCUCUCUCUCUCCCCCUCUCUCUUUCUCUCUCUCUCUAUACCUCAAAGCCUUUUUCUAUCUCGUGGCCUUCUCUCUUUUCUUUCCUCUCAAGCUCACUCUUUUCCUUCUUUGACAUCCUACUCUCUUUACUUAACACAACCUCUCCUUUUUCCUCUUUUGGGAUGUCAACAUGCACAUCCUUAUUCCUCUCAUUCUUUUCUCUCUUAUAUUUUUCCGUUUUUUCUUUAACAAUCUUUUUAUCUUCAUAAAUUUGUGAGGGAGUCAAAGACCGAAGAAUGAGUUUCUUCCCGUUAAUCUCGUAAUAAUAUUUUUUUUCAUGCUAUAUGAAGCUUUUUUAUAGUCAUACCAUGGCUUUCCCAAUAAGAUAUGAUAAUAAUUCAUGGAAAUCACAUCACACCAGAUCGCAUCCUCAUAUAUUCCAAUAAAAAAUAGUAAUAACACACACAUUUACUCCUCUCAACAUGUAGGGUUCAAUAUGCUUAACAUAUGGCAAGUUCAAUUUCUCAACCAUAUAAGUACUAAUUGAGUUAUAGCCAAACUCUUUGUCAAUUCUAAAGGUACAAAUUGCAGGCAUCACUUUAUCUCUUAUUUGAAAAAUUAGUUUUCCUUCCAUUCGCAUAUUGUAAGUUCGACUUUUCAAAUUAUUGAGUCAUAGCUCGCCUCCUUUCUUCAUAACUACCCGUUUGAAAAAUCUUGAACAAAAAUUAGAAGAAAUAUUUAUAUCUCAAAUUUUGGCUUUUCCCUCUAAUGUUCUCAUCUCUCUUGCUUUUUUCCACUCAAAGCAACUCUUAAUUUUAAUCAUUAGGUUUAUUAAUAAACCUAACAAGUCACAUCCCGCAGUGAUAAGAAUACGGAGUUAGAAAAAGAAAAGAAAAAUGAGAGACCAAACCUAGAAACAAUAGGAAUGGGUUAUUGUUAAAAGAAAAAGGAAAGAAAUUAAGACACCUAAAACCCACCAGAAUAAGGAAAGAAGUUACCUUAAUCUUCAAGAACUAGAAUCCACUCUUCUUUUUUCCUUUCUUGACUUGGAAACCUAAUAAUACUUGAAUUCUAAAAAUAAUAAUGAGCAAUAAAAUUUUUUUUGGGGGGCUGAUUUUCGUUUUUUUGUUUGUUUGUUUUGUUCGUUUUUUGCUCAAGAACCUUCCAAGACUAUCAAUCUUGAAAUCUUUAUUAACCUAUGCUCUGGUACCACUUGAUAACAACACUAUAGGUAUUCAAGAAUUACUUAAGAAAAAACCAAAAAAAAUAAAAAAACGUGCAGAAGCUAAAAGAAAAUAAAGAAAUAAAAAAGAUGGAAAACUAAAAAUAGAUUGAGUUCAAGAAAGAGUUUCUUGAAUUCAAGAAGUCUAUUCUUGUAGAUUAAUUCUAACAAAAACAAUUAGCUAACGAAGAACAAAUCGUCUUUGGUAGAGGUUAAAAACAAGAGAUAAAUUGUGAAACUCGACCCUUUAGAAUAACAAGAACAACAGUAAGCCUAAAAUUAUCACCUUCUUUGAAUAUAUAGAAGUGAUCUAAGAUUUCGAAAAUGAUUUAAUCUUACCACCUUAAGUUGAAUCUUGAAUCCAAGAGUAGCCACACCUGAGUGCAAGAAAAUCUCACAAUUUUUUGUUGAUAAUAAUAUGAAUAAUCUAUAUUUAAACAAAAAGAUAUAGAUAGGGGGCAUGAAAUUGUAACCAAAAAAAGAAGGAAAAUAAAGUCCUAAACUACUUUGGACAACAAGUCCAACUACCUUAGAAAAAGAAAAAUACUAGGAAGCAUAAACUAAGUCAUUCUUGGAAAAUAAUUAUAAAAAUCUUAAUAAAAAGAAAACAUAGCCUUAACUAACUAGGAAAGCAAUAGAUAUAGUCUGAUAAUAUAUGAAAAUAAGCCCCAAACUAAUCUUGGAUAGAAUCUUGAAAAUCUUGAAGUAAAUAUUUGCAAGCAACUUGGCACUAACUUGCACUCAACAUUUAGCUUGGUUAUUGCACCAUUAUUGGACACCAAGUAAGUCCUUUUUAUUCUAUAAAAAUGUGGCUUUAUGUAGGACUUCAUGGGUUGCAAGUUUGGACUCAUUUUAAGUGCUAAAUUGGUCCAACAGUGGCCUGAUUUUGACCUUCUUCAGAGGAUAUUUCUUGGGAUCUAAUCCACCUCUUAUUGGACAUGAAUUUGGGCCAUAAAAUAAGUAUAAUACCUAGAUAACUCAUAUCCUUUAUCCUUAAUUUCUUCCUCCCAACUAACAACUUCUUUGAUCGUUCCUGAAGUCCAAUCGCCUUGUUUUGCAACUUUUUAGCUUGAGAUCUUGUUAAAGGCCUCUUUGAAAUUUCAAAGGCUCAUCCUUGUCCUUGAAUAGAUUUGAGCUUCCUAGGAUACUAUCAUUCUCCUUGAUUGGUGCUUGGACCACAAGCUACCUCCUUUUGGACUUGGACUUGGAUCAUUGAAUGAGUGUAACACUUAGCUAAAUCCUCUCCAUAAUUCUUGAGCUCUUCUUCCACCAUUAGCGCCUUCUUAAUCUCCCAUUGAAGCCCAACACUCUUAUCUUGAUUCUCCUUAGCUUGAGACCUUGUGAAUAGCUUUCUUGGUGCUUCUAUUUAUCCUUGUCUGUGGAUCUAUCAUUCCCCUCCUUUUGAAAAGAAUUCGUCCUCAAAUUUGAACCUACAUCAAACAAGGAUAAGUCAGCAACAUUGAAAGUAGCACUUACUUAAAAUUCGCCUGGAAGGUCUAGUUUGUAAGCAUUAUCUCCAAUCCUUUCAAGUACUUUAAAUGGCCCAUCUCCUCUAGGGUGUAACUUUGUCUUCCUUUUUGAAUAAAUAUCUCCUUCCUCAUAUGAACCCAAACCAAAUCACCAUGCUCGAAGAUAACUAGUUUUCGACCUUUAUUUCUUCGUAAAGCUAUUUGUUCAUUCCCUACUUUCAAUGGCAAGUCUCGCAUGCUCAUGAAUAGCCUUUAUUAAAUCAGCUUUCUUUUUUCCAUUAAGACUAACCAUCUCAUUAGUAGGCAAAUGCAAUAAGCCACGGGGUGUAAGGGGGUUAAAGCCAUAAAAACUUCAAAAGGUGAAUAACUAGUAGAUGAAUGAACAAUUCGAUUGUUAUUCUACUAUAAGCAAGUGAUCCUCCCAAGAAUUUAAUUUUCCUUUUAGAAUAGCCCUUAACAUUUUUUUCUAAGAUUCUAUUUACUGCCUCAGGUUGCCCAUUAGUUUGUGGAUGACAUGAAGUAGAAAACACCAAUUUUGUUCCUAAUUUUUCCCAAAGCACACGCCAAAAGUGGCUUAGAAACUUAACAUCUCUAUCACUAACAAUAGUUUGAGUAUACCAUGCAAUUUAACAACUUCUCUGACAAAUAAAUCAGCAACAUAAGAAGCAUCAUUAGUCUUUAAACUAGGAAUAUAACGAGUCAUUUUGAGAACCUAUCUACCACAACAAAGAUGUUAUCUUUUCCAUACCUUUUUCUAGGUAGUCCUAACACAAAGUCUAUAGAAAUAUCAAUCCAAAGUGAAAUAUGCACAGGUAAUGGCGUGUAUAAACCAUGUGGCAAUUUAAACUACACUCAAUAAUUUUACACAUCUUUACUGCUUCCUUAUAGCCUAUAAUGUGUCUUACAUAUUUUUUUGCUUUCAGUCUUUAUUUAUGAUUAUUAGUGACUGAGUUGGAGUACUCGCUUUACUCCCUGCACCCUGAGUGCAGAUUCAGGCCCUGCUGAUCCUGUUCGCGAGGGUUGAGAGCUCCCGACAGAUUUUGGAUUCCACGAGGUAGCUGCUCGGUGUUCGCAGCCCCGUGCCUCUCCCCCUUUAUCUCAUCUCUAUCUCUAUUCAGUUAUUUUGUAAUAUUUUGGUAGACAUUUCAAACUUGUAGUGACACCCCGGUAUCGGGCCGUGUUGGGCUUGUUUCCCCAAACUGUGAUGUCACUGCUUAUAUUUCGGGGUUGUCACACCUCCUUUUUAUUACACCCCCAGAAGGGAGUAAAGGAGUUUUUCCAAUUUAAGUGACAAUCGAAACGGGAUUAUUUCAUUCAAAGGGUCGCCACUUAGGAUAAUUUAUGGUGUCCCAGUUUACCGGUUCAAAUCCCGAACCGAAAAAAGAUUGACUCUGUUUUACAGUCCGCGAACACAGAAAUCCGGGUAAGGAAUUAUGUUAACCCAGGAGAAGAUGUUAGGCAUAAUCAAGUUCUGUGAUUUUAACACGGUCGCUCAACUGUUAUUAUUGGCCUAUUUAUUUUAUUUUAAAACAUCUUUAAAACCUAUGUGCAUUUACUCUUUUUAAAUUUGUUUUAAUAUUCAAAUUAUUAUACAGCUAAUUAUUUUAAUUACACAUUGCGAAUCGUGUCACGAGAAUUGUACAAUCUACAAUGUGCUUAUUGUAUUAGCAAGAUUAAAUUAUGGCCGAAUCACAUAAAUAUACCCCCGAAUUUAUAAAUUAGGAAUCACAAUUACGUUACGGGAACCGUACCCAUAGCUAUGAUAAUUUUUUUGAUUAAAAACGCCUAAAGCAAACUACGAGAGUUCACGGCAUUUUCUACAUUAGUUAAGAUCUCGAUGUGAGUGUCAUACACUAGGUGAUUAAAUGACACGCCUCAAUUUUAUUUAAUAGAAUUCAUAUUCAACUAAAGCACGUUAUAGAUGUUCAUAUUUAAAACUAACUUUUUGAAAGAAAAAUAUCUUCGAUUCAUUGAACCGAAUGAAAUUACAGAACAGGAACUUCGGGAUGACCGAUGAAGACGGAUAGUGAUAUUAUUCAAGUCAUUCACCCAUUACACUUCAACAAAACUUGGGUAAUUAUUUGAAUUAAAGUACUAGCACAAAGUUCAUUAACUGAGAUUUUUCUCAACAUAAGAUAUGCAGACGCAAAGAAAUGCUAAAGAAAAGAAAGUUUGUUAAUGAGUUAUAAUUAGUCAAACUAAUUAAAAUUUGUUAAAACUCCUUUUCACUGAAAAUGAUUUAAAUAAGGAAAAUAAAAUUGUAAGAAGAAAUUGCAUUUUUUAUAAUUGAAAUAACUAAGAAAUUGCUUAAACACUUAAUUACAAAGUUACCAUAUCUCUGCUGCCAACCAAAAUCCAAUCCUAUUCCUGUUAUUCACACUUAUUUCAAUGGCUCAUUAACAUUUAAAAUCAGCUCCUAGUAAAAAGGAACUAAAUAGCUAGUUCUCAUGCUUUCCAUCAUAAGAACAAAACUGAAUAUCACACCAAAGGACUAUACUAGCAAGAUAAUAGCAUAGUAGAGAGAGAGAGAGAGUGGACCUUUAAACAGCUUGCUCGACAUUAAAUCUUUCCAAAACAACUUACAGUUAAUUGAGGGAUAAGAAAUCCAGCGAUGGGAACUCAACAACAAAUGUUAAAAAAGAAUUACGAACUGUACUCGAACGACGACUCGGGCUUCGAAAGCAGUAUCAUCCCAAAUCGAUGCCGGCAGACUCGAAAACAGACAUAACUUUGGGGGCGAUUUUUGAAUGUUUCCAGUUGAGUUACAGUUUCGAUUUUUGUGCUGGAUUGGAUUGGUUUUAGAUGGAGAAAAGGGGUUGCUUUGGUGGUGGUUGGCGUUGGAGAGAUUCAGGGGUCCUCAUGUAGAAGAUGAAGCAACAACUCGAUUUUGUUUUCUCGGGUUCGGCUGCUUAGGGACGCUAGGGCUAGGAAGAAGUGUUUAAGGUUGCUCGUUCUUCUGAAGGGGUCGUUGGCUGCUAUGAGGUGGUUGUUUCUCUCCUCACAUGGCUGCUUCGGGCGCUUGAAAAGAAAGGCGUUCCAGGGUGUUUGAAGUGUAUUGAGGAGGAAGAAGCUCGAGGGUCUUAUGUCUUUUUUCCUUCGGAAACGAUGGAUCCUCUCUAUAUGCAAAUGGUUCCCUUUUUUUAAUUUAUCCCACACUCCCUCUCUCUAUUCCUAAAAUCCUCUCCUCCUCUCAAACAUUUCUCCUCAAAAUCCUCAAUGAUGUCCCCCAUUUUCUCUCUCUUGGUCUUUAUGUAUGUGAGGCUAGACUAAUUGUGUGUGGGCAGAUUAUGAGUGUCUGCAUUGUGAGGAAUCUUUUUUUUCUGAGUAUUUAAACUUACUUGAUAAAAAAGAAAAGGAAUCUUAAGAAUAAAAUAAGGGAAGGUCACACGUCAAUAUGGGUGAGAAUGGAAAAAUGGGACCACUACCAACUUCAUUUGUUUCCUUUCACUUUGUCUUUCAC
RNAcentral lists this long non-coding RNA (9452 nucleotides) under Nicotiana benthamiana. RNAcentral's name for it is "long non-coding RNA (NBEN_LNC011134)". Lineage: Eukaryota; Viridiplantae; Streptophyta; Magnoliopsida; Solanales; Solanaceae. The record is from RNAcentral.